Molecule: long non-coding RNA, 626 nt
Organism: Marmota flaviventris (yellow-bellied marmot)
Lineage: Eukaryota; Metazoa; Chordata; Mammalia; Rodentia; Sciuridae
Source: RefSeq, a predicted model, not a curated record
UGUUUGAGAAAAGAUGCUAACUGGCCUCGCAGGAUGAUUAUUCCUGGGCUUGCUGCCAUCCGAGUGGCUCUGUAAGGUGACAUGGUGGUUAGUGACACUCAGGCCCGGGGACAAGCGCACAGAGUUCUGGUUUGGCAUUCUGUCUCCCUCCAGGGGUGAGAACCCUGGGCAACUGUCUUCUUGGCUGCUCUUGGCAAUGCAACCUCUGACGUGGUUUGAAGUCAUGGGUCCCUCUGGAUGUCUCUUAAGUCCGUAUUACAGGGCUCUUGGUGUAACGGACACACACAUCCAAGACAGCACCACUGUCAGUGACUCUCCACUUGAAUCUCUCAAAAACAUAGUGCUGCACCACAUGCAGUUACUGAGCAGAUUGUCACCAGACGGCUCAGUUUGCUCCUGGCAUCUCAGUCACAGCUGAAAAGGAGAAAGUCAGAGAACGCAGUGGACCCUCAAAAGGACUCUGAGAGGGGACAGACCUCGGGAGCUGACCUCUGCUGCUCCACCCUCUCUCUAGAAAGCGUGCUACCCCCUGCAUCCUGUGCUCUGUCCUCGCUCUGGGGACAGGUUUGUCUGGGUGGCUGUGAGGAAUCUAAAAGGAAACGUGGCUCUGUCCCUGGACUCCUGCU